CAGCAUCGCUAGGGGUCCUGCUCCUGUUGUGUACCAUUCGCACCAAAACGCGUAUGGCAUAAACAGGGCGGGUGAGAGUUACCCUUAGAACCUGACCCGGAUAAUACCGGCGUAGGGAAGCGUAAUCUGCCAGAC
Molecule: non-coding RNA, 135 nt
Filed under: Vogesella sp. EB
Lineage: Bacteria; Pseudomonadati; Pseudomonadota; Betaproteobacteria; Neisseriales; Chromobacteriaceae
Also listed under: 1 other name
Description: TPP riboswitch aptamer (THI element)
Rfam family: TPP riboswitch aptamer (THI element)
About the family: Vitamin B(1) in its active form thiamin pyrophosphate (TPP) is an essential coenzyme that is synthesised by coupling of pyrimidine and thiazole moieties in bacteria. The previously detected thiamin-regulatory element, thi box was extended, resulting in a new, highly conserved RNA secondary structure, the THI element, which is widely distributed in eubacteria and also occurs in some archaea. Analysis of operon structures identified a large number of new candidate thiamin-regulated genes, mostly transporters, in various prokaryotic organisms.
Source: Rfam by way of RNAcentral